GACGAACGCUGGCGGCGUGCUUAACACAUGCAAGUCGUACGGUAAGGCCCUUUCGGGGGUACACGAGUGGCGAACGGGUGAGUAACACGUGAGUAACCCGCCCACAACUUUGGGAUAACGCUAGGAAACUGGUGCUAAUACUGGAUAUGUGCUCCUGCUGCAUGGUGGGGGUUGGAAAGCUCCGGCGGUUGUGGAUGGACUCGCGGCCUAUCAGCUUGUUGGUGGGGUAGUGGCCUACCAAGGCGGCGACGGGUAGCCGGCCUGAGAGGGUGACCGGCCACAUUGGGACUGAGAUACGGCCCAGACUCCUACGGGAGGCAGCAGUGGGGAAUAUUGCACAAUGGGCGCAAGCCUGAUGCAGCAACGCCGCGUGCGGGAUGACGGCCUUCGGGUUGUAAACCGCUUUCAGCAGGGACGAAGCUUUUUGUGACGGUACCUGCAGAAGAAGCACCGGCUAACUACGUG
This 465-nucleotide ribosomal RNA is filed under the name uncultured bacterium. RNAcentral's name for it is "partial 16S ribosomal RNA". It matches the Rfam family "Bacterial small subunit ribosomal RNA", at positions 28 to 507 of the family's 1533-position model. The record is from RNAcentral.